GAGCCAUCGGAGGCUGCUCCUCUUUGGGCCUCUCGUCUUCAGACCCCGAGUCCGAAUCGGAGCUGUCUGAUGAGCUGGAGCUUCCGGAGCUCGACGACGAACUGGAUCCGGAGCUUGACGAGCCUGGUGGAAAUGUCAGGAUCUUGUGGCACUUGAUGCACUUACCGGAGCCAGAGCUGGUGCUGCCCGUGUCCGAGUCGGAGCCGUCCUCCAGCUUCUCGACCCUCGAGUCCAGGUCCUUCACGGAACCGUUCCCUGGGGAUUUGUGAAGAAAUAAAAACAAUUAUGUAGAAA
Long non-coding RNA from Bombyx mori (domestic silkworm), 294 nucleotides. RefSeq lists it as uncharacterized. NCBI's taxonomy places the organism in Eukaryota, Metazoa, Arthropoda, Insecta, Lepidoptera, Bombycidae. The transcript has 2 exons. The record is from RefSeq and is a predicted model, not a curated record.